UCCACUUUUGGAUGGGCCUGCGGCGUAUUAACUUGUUGGUGGGGUAACGGCCUACCAAGGUGAUGAUACGUAGCCGAACUGAGAGGUUGAUCGGCCACAUUGGGACUGAGACACGGCCCAAACUCCUACGGGAGGCAGCAGUAGGGAAUCUUCCACAAUGGACGAAAGUCUGAUGGAGCAACGCCGCGUGAAUGAAGAAGGCCUUCGGGUCGUAAAAUUCUGUUGUCAGAGAAGAACGUGCGUGAGAGUAACUGUUCACGUAUUGACGGUAUCUGACCAGAAAGCCACGGCUAACUACGUGCCAGCAGCCGCGGUAAUACGUAGGUGGCGAGCGUUGUCCGGAUUUAUUGGGCGUAAAGGGAACGCAGGCGGUCUUUUAAGUCUGAUGUGAAAGCCUUCGGCUUAACCGAAGUAGUGCAUUGGAAACUGGAAGACUUGAGUGCAGAAGAGGAGAGUGGAACUCCAUGUGUAGCGGUGAAAUGCGUAGAUAUAUGGAAGAACACCAGUGGCGAAAGCGGCUCUCUGGUCUGUAACUGACGCUGAGGUUCGAAAGCGUGGGUAGCAAACAGGAUUAGAUACCCUGGUAGUCCACGCCGUAAACGAUGAGUGCUAAGUGUUGGAGGGUUUCCGCCCUUCAGUGCUGCAGCUAACGCAUUAAGCAC
RNAcentral lists this ribosomal RNA (662 nucleotides) under uncultured bacterium. RNAcentral describes it as "bacterial SSU rRNA". It matches the Rfam family "Bacterial small subunit ribosomal RNA", at positions 214 to 867 of the family's 1533-position model. The record is from RNAcentral.